CUUUUCCAUUUGUACCUUGCUGCUGGUGUUGCAGGAGACCAAACUCAAAAGUUAGCCAGAGAUGACAGAAUCAAUCUAACUGCAAAGAAGAUUGGAUUCCACCUCAUGCAGUUUUCUCUACUUCCAGCUAAAGUUGUUUGAUCCAGUGUAAGGUGAAGUAUCCAGCAGGUCUCAUUGCUUGAUCAGUCCAGCAGUUCUGGAUCAUGCUCAGAAUUCAAAGGUUAUAAGGGAUUAGCUUUGCUGGAUACC
Molecule: long non-coding RNA, 249 nt
Organism: Gavialis gangeticus (Gharial)
Lineage: Eukaryota; Metazoa; Chordata; Crocodylia; Gavialidae
Exons: 3
Source: RefSeq, a predicted model, not a curated record